This is a long non-coding RNA of Glycine soja, 1293 nucleotides long. RefSeq lists it as uncharacterized. The transcript is spliced from 2 exons. NCBI's taxonomy places the organism in Eukaryota, Viridiplantae, Streptophyta, Magnoliopsida, Fabales, Fabaceae. The record is from RefSeq and is a predicted model, not a curated record.
GGCCACACUCUACUAUAUUUAAUGAGUUAAAAAAAUCACUCCACCCCAAGGGGAAGAUUCUCGAUUUCUCAUUUCUCCAAAAUCGAAUUAAGUGACCUCGGACACGGUGAUGGAUUCUUCUUCUCACUUCUCAAUCCAAAACCUAAGUCAUCUUUACAGCGAGUUGGUUGUUCAUAGAUGCCUUUCUCGUGUCUGAGGGUGACGAUAUUACUUUCACAUCCAUUGACGCUGUGUUAUGUUGCUCAAGGAAUAAAUGACAGCACAUUCCUUUUGCUUUAAGUGUCAAUGGUACAUUUCACGUUUGAAUCUUCUUCGUUUGUGCGUUAAUGUAUCUAGACUUGUGCAAUAUGCAAAUACCUUUACCUCUUUCAAAAAAUCCAUUUUUAUGUAACUAGACUUGUGCAAUAAUGCUCAAAAUAAAGAUUUGAUGGAGUUGGUCAGGCUUCUUGUGCUGUUGUAAAUGUGCUUGGAGUUUGGAAUAUAUUCCCACAUCUCAUUGUAUAAUUCUUAUCCAGCAUGCGUAUAGUUUUGUUUCACAUUUCCUCUUUUUACCACUAAAAGUAUCUCAUUUAGCAAACCAUACUUGUUAAGAUUUGCAAGAAAUUGUGAGAUGUUGGUUUUGUUACUGAGAAAUGUUGGUAACGCACCAUCUAAUACACUAUUUUGAACAUACUUUCUCUUAUUGACUGUAAUUUAUUAGAAAUUACUAAGUCUCGCUUAUGAUUUUGUAGUUUUUUAAUAAAUUUGAAUCAAAACAGAGAAUAUGUUGGAAGGAAUGUGCUUGACAGAGUGUUUAUAAGACUCCUCUUCGUUAUUUGCAUCAUUUUCAACAUUACUAAAGUAGGAAUGAACCAAUAUUUCUAGGAAAUGUAUUGGCCUCUUUGUCUUUAGCAAAAUUUUAAGGAAAAGGGUUGAAUAUGUUUUGUAAGCAUUUGAGAAUAUUUUAAUAUGAUUUCUGUCAAUGUGUGUUAAAAAUUGGAAUAUUCUUCAGAGGAUGUGCAGGUCAAGUAGAUGAAGUUUAAGAAUUGGUUCAUCAAUUCUUCAUUUGUAAGUUAGUACCUUGUCUACAUUUGUAGGAUGACGUUUUUAGUUUUGAUGUUGCUAGAUGAAGAUAUAGAACCGUAGUGCUUGCUUCCUCACUGCGUGCUCCUUUCGGCUUGCUUUUUAUUUGAGUAGUUGUUGAUAGGGACUAAUUUCAUUGAUUGGGAUGUGAAAUUGAGAUGGAGAUUGUGUUAUACAUUGUUCUCAUGCAGAUUUCAAUAUAACAUAUUUGUGGCUACCUUUGGUUCUAAA